UACUUCUUCGGACAAUAGUACAAGGUGCUGCAUGGUUGUCGUCAGCUCGUGCUGUGAAGUGUUGGGUUAAGUCCCGCAACGAGCGCAACCCCCGCUGCCUGUUGCCACCACGAGAGGUGGGGACUCAGGCGGGACCGCCGGUGACAAACCGGAGGAAGGUGGGGACGACGUCAAGUCAUCAUGGCCCUUAUGUCCUGGGCUACACACGUGCUACAAUGGCCGGUACAGAGCGCAGCGAGGCCGCGAGGCGGAGCGAAUCGCUUAAAGCCGGUCCCAGUACGGAUUGGAGUCUGCAACCCGACUCCAUGAAGUUGGAAUCGCUAGUAAUCGCGCAUCAGCAUGGCGCGGUGAAUACGUUCCCGGGCCUU
RNAcentral lists this ribosomal RNA (368 nucleotides) under uncultured Spirochaeta sp. RNAcentral describes it as "bacterial SSU rRNA". It matches the Rfam family "Bacterial small subunit ribosomal RNA", at positions 1013 to 1382 of the family's 1533-position model. The record is from RNAcentral. Lineage: Bacteria; Pseudomonadati; Spirochaetota; Spirochaetia; Spirochaetales; Spirochaetaceae.